This 450-nucleotide ribosomal RNA is filed under the name uncultured bacterium. Its description in RNAcentral is "bacterial SSU rRNA". It matches the Rfam family "Bacterial small subunit ribosomal RNA", at positions 354 to 796 of the family's 1533-position model. The record is from RNAcentral.
GUGGGGAAUAUUGGACAAUGGGCGAAAGCCUGAUCCAGCCAUGCCGCGUGUGUGAAGAAGGUCUUCGGAUUGUAAAGCACUUUAAGUUGGGAGGAAGGGCAGUAAGUUAAUACCUUGCUGUUUUGACGUUACCGACAGAAUAAGCACCGGCUAACUUCGUACCAGCAGCCGCGGUAAUACGAAGGGUGCAAGCGUUAAUCGGAAUUACUGGGCGUAAAGCGCGCGUAGGUGGUUUUGUAAGUUGGAGGUGAAAUCCCCGGGCUCAACCUGGGAACUGCCUCCAAAACUGCAUGACUAGAGUACGGUAGAGGGUAGUGGAAUUUCCUGUGUAGCGGUGAAAUGCGUAGAUAUAGGAAGGAACACCAGUGGCGAAGGCGACUACCUGGACUGAUACUGACACUGAGGUGCGAAAGCGUGGGGAGCAAACAGGAUUAGAAACCCGUGUAGUCC